UAUGACAUCAUAUGAUGUCAUUUAAAGGAAUUCCCACCAAUCACAUUAAAACAUCACUUAAGUAAGUAAUAAAAGAAGAUAAAUAACACAAAAAAAGAAAAAAAUAAUCUGUUUCUUCACCAAACUAAAGACCAGCCAUCUCCCUCUUCUCCCAUAGCCAUUUCCUCCAUGAAAGCUCACCCAAGCUCCCAACCUCACCAAAUCUCACUUGCAACCCUUACCUAGCUUCAUAAAAAAUUAACCUAGCAACUUGAACAUCCUCUAGGCAGCCAAAAGAGGAAGGAAAGAGCAAGUUUAAUUGGUUUGAAAUUCUGCUCCAUUCAAGGUUAGUGUCCAAUCUUAGUUCUUUUUGCUUUAAUUCGUGUUUAAGGGCAUGAAUUGUGUAAGAAAGGUAAGAAAAUAAAAUAAACAUGUGUGUGUGUGCACCCUACAAUUUUGGCAGCUAGGGUUUGAUGAUUUUGCUCGGUAGAAAAAUGGUUAUGAGCAGCCUUUGGUAGUGGAUGAGGGAUUGAAUAUAAUUGAGUAAAUGAAAUGCAAGAAUUGUGCAUGUGAGAAAUGAAAAAAAAUUGGACACUUGAACAAUUCUAGGGUUUGUUUAUGUGAUGGUUCAUUAACCUUGUAAUGGUCAAUUAGUGGCCAUUUGAAUGUGUAUGAUAAUGAAGUGAAUUGAGGCUUGACAUUUGUGUAUGGGUGAGCUGCCUUGGCUGACCUGCAGGACUAAGCAUGAGUCCAGCAGGUUCGGGCAGCUAUAAAU
This 754-nucleotide unclassified non-coding RNA is filed under the name Hevea brasiliensis (rubber tree). Lineage: Eukaryota; Viridiplantae; Streptophyta; Magnoliopsida; Malpighiales; Euphorbiaceae. The record is from RNAcentral.